This is a small nuclear RNA of Salmo salar (Atlantic salmon), 113 nucleotides long. RefSeq annotates it as U5 spliceosomal RNA. NCBI's taxonomy places the organism in Eukaryota, Metazoa, Chordata, Actinopteri, Salmoniformes, Salmonidae. The record is from RefSeq and is a predicted model, not a curated record.
AAACUCUGGUUUCUCUCCAGAUCGCAUAAAUCUUUCGCCUUUUACUAAAAGAUUUCCGUUGGGAGAACAUUACUGAGUAUCAACAAAUUUUUGAUGCCCUGCUGUGCAGGGCU